CCACGCUUCUGACCUGUGCUCUGUCUUUGCAGUUCUGCACGGAGCUAAACCAGCCGACCCUGCCCAACAUCCGCAAGUGGAAGGGGCCCCGGGGAUGCUGGAAGGCUGUUGUUGCUGAGAAGCCCUCGAAUCAGCUCCAGAAGGGAGCUGGGUAUGCAGGAUUCCUAUGGGACGCGGCUGCCGGCAUGGAGCUGAGAGACGCGGGCUCACAGGAGAGCUCGCCCGGCAACGGGCACGGGAAGCCGGCAGGCCCCAGCCCAUACCUCGGGCGGUUCAAGGUGGGAAGUCACGACCUGACCCUUGUUAACCUUCACCUGGCAGCCCUGACCCUCCUGGGGAGCGAGAAUCCCAGCAAGAAUCACAGUGAUGGCCACCGGUUGGCGAGCUUUGCACAGACCCUACAGGAAACCCUGAAAGGAGAAAAGGAUGUCAUUAUCUUAGGGGAUUUUGGCCAAGGGCCAGACAGCAAUGACUAUGAUAUCCUGAGGAAAGAAAAGUUCCACCACCUGAUCCCCGCGCACACCUUCACCAACAUCAGCACCAAGAACCCUCAAGGCUCGAAGUCUCUGGACAACAUCUGGAUCAGUAAAAGCUUAAAGAAGGUUUUCACAG
This 612-nucleotide small RNA is filed under the name Pan troglodytes (chimpanzee). RNAcentral describes it as "retained intron". The record is from RNAcentral. Lineage: Eukaryota; Metazoa; Chordata; Mammalia; Primates; Hominidae.